RNAcentral lists this unclassified non-coding RNA (374 nucleotides) under fungal sp. Its description in RNAcentral is "partial internal transcribed spacer region". The stretch from base 1 to 46 matches the Rfam family "Eukaryotic small subunit ribosomal RNA", at positions 1786 to 1831 of the family's 1831-position model. The record is from RNAcentral. Lineage: Eukaryota; Fungi.
AAGUCGUAACAAGGUCUCCGUAGGUGAACCUGCGGAAGGAUCAUUAACGCGUAUCCAAACGUUAAAACCCCCCCCGUGAACCUUCAUCCUGCUCUUGUAACCCGCGUAGUUCGCAAUCUCUUCAGAGACCUCUGGCUACGUGCGAACAUUGGAACAGUUACAAUCGAGCGGUAGUUCUAUAGGCAAUGUUUCUCCAAGCAGUCAGUGUCGGAAAGUGUCAUUGAUUGUGCAAGGAUAGCGCUUCUACGAUUCCUGUAGACCGUACACUCGGGCAGGAGCUUUCCCCUAAUAACCCCACAGUUUAAUGUGAAGCUCAAUGUAAUAGAUUGGGUAAAAAUACCGAACAACUGUUAACAAUGGAUAUCUUGGUUCUC